Molecule: ribosomal RNA, 340 nt
Filed under: Andreadoxa flava
Lineage: Eukaryota; Viridiplantae; Streptophyta; Magnoliopsida; Sapindales; Rutaceae
Description: eukaryotic LSU rRNA
Rfam family: Eukaryotic large subunit ribosomal RNA (bases 261-340)
Source: RNAcentral
UUGCGCCCCAAGCCACUAGGCCGAGGGCACGUCUGCCUGGGUGUCACGCAUCGUUGCCCCCCACCCCUCCCCCUCGUUCUUGAGCGGGGCUCGGAUGUGGGGGCGGAUAUUGGCCUCCCGUGUGCUCUUUGCUCGCGGUUGGCCCAAAUUCCAGUCCACGGCGAUUGGUGCCGCGACGAUCGGUGGUGUUACAAUGCCUCUCGAGAAUGCGUCGCGCACCCUCCGGGACUCGAGGACCCUAGCGCUCCGCGCUCUCUAAGCGACCCCAGGUCAGGCGAGACUACCCGCUGAGUUUAAGCAUAUCAAUAAGCGGAGGAAAAGAAACUUACCAGGAUUCCCC